AGCGAACGCUGGCGGCAGGCUUAACACAUGCAAGUCGAACGCCCCGCAAGGGGAGUGGCAGACGGGCGAGUAACACGUGGGAACGUACCCUUUGGUUCGGAAUAACUUGGGGAAACUCAAGCUAAUACCGGAUAAGCCCUUAUGGGGAAGGGUUUACUGCCGAAGGAUCGGCCCGCGUCUGAUUAGCUAGUUGGUGGGGUAAUGGCUCACCAAGGCGACGAUCAGUAGCUGGUCUGAGAGGAUGAUCAGCCACACUGGGACUGAGACACGGCCCAGACUCCUACGGGAGGCAGCAGUGGGGAAUAUUGGACAAUGGGGGCAACCCUGAUCCAGCCAUGCCGCGUGAGUGAUGAAGGCCUUAGGGUUGUAAAGCUCUUUUACCCGGGACGAUAAUGACUGUACCGGGAGAAUAAACCCCGGCUAACUUCGUGCCAGCAGCCGCCGUAA
RNAcentral lists this ribosomal RNA (447 nucleotides) under uncultured bacterium. Its description in RNAcentral is "partial 16S ribosomal RNA". It matches the Rfam family "Bacterial small subunit ribosomal RNA", at positions 29 to 523 of the family's 1533-position model. The record is from RNAcentral.